CGCGUAGGUGGUUUGAUAGGGGUGUGGUGAAAGCCCGGGGCUCAACCCCGGGUCUGCCGUGCCGACUGUCAAACUCGAGGGCUGUAGAGGCAGACGGAAUUCCGGGUGUAGCGGUGGAAUGCGUAGAGAUCCGGAGGAAGACCGGUGGCGAAGGCGGUCUGCUGGGCAGUUUCUGACACUGAUGCGCGACAGCGUGGGGAGCAAACA
This 207-nucleotide ribosomal RNA is filed under the name uncultured bacterium. Its description in RNAcentral is "partial 16S ribosomal RNA". It matches the Rfam family "Bacterial small subunit ribosomal RNA", at positions 568 to 774 of the family's 1533-position model. The record is from RNAcentral.